This is a long non-coding RNA of Cyprinus carpio (common carp), 1197 nucleotides long. NCBI's taxonomy places the organism in Eukaryota, Metazoa, Chordata, Actinopteri, Cypriniformes, Cyprinidae. The record is from Ensembl.
AUGAAUUUUGAGAAAGUUAAUGAAGAAGAUAUGGAGUUUGAUGAUUGGAAUUUAGUAGGGAGUGGGAAAAGUCAAGAAAACAGGAAAAAAGGACGAAAUGAAGGGAAUCUGGUAGCCAGCCAAUCCAGUAAACGGGGAUUAGAAGGAAACAGUUCAGAUGAGGAUAAUAGGGCUGUUCGCAAAAAGAUUGUAAAAGAGGAAUUUAAAAUAAUUCUUACAUUUAGAAAGGAAGAUGAGCAUGUUAAUCUUAGUCCAAUGGCAUUGUCUAAAGAGUUGAAGAAAAAGUUAGGAGAAGUGGAUAUGGCUAAGAUUUUGAGAGACGGAAGUCUGCUGAUAAUUUGUAAAACAGAAGAACAAAAAAACAAAGCGUUAAAAAUUGACAAUAUGUGCAAGAAAAUAGUGAAUGAAAGAAAGAUUUUGGGUGAGAGAAAAAUGAAACAGGGAGUGAUAACAGGCAUUCCAAUCGAAGAAGAUCUAGAAAAACUCAGUCGAAGUAUUUCUGGAGGGGAAGUGAGUAGAAUAAAAAGGUUGCAAAAAACAAUGAAUGGGGAAAGGAUUGAUAGUUUGUCAGUUCUUUUGGAGUUUCAGGAUUCAGUGCUUCCGGAAAGAGUUAAAAUAGGAUAUAUGAGUUUCGUAGUGAGGCCAUAUAUUCCUCCCCCAUUCCGCUGUUAUAGAUGUCAGAGAUAUGGACAUAUAGCAGCGGUGUGCAAAGGAAAACAACGAUGUCCCAAGUGUGGAGGUGAGCAUAGAAUUGAAAACUGUGGAGAGGGUGUACAGGAUAAUUGCUGUAAUUGUGGUGGGCAACACAGGGUAACAUACAGUGGAUGUGAUGUAAGGAAGAGAGCAGUGGAAAUUGAAAAAGUGAAAGCGGUAAACAACAUAAGUUACUCAGAGGCAGUGAAGAAGGUUCAAGAGCAAAGGAGAAGUGAUGAUACUGUUAAACAUAUCAUGAGACAUGAGGUUGGUCAAGCAGAGGAAAACAAUACAAUGGAAAAUAACUUGAGACAAGAGGUUGGUCAAGCAGAGGAAAGCAGCACAGCACUGACAGUGGAUAAGUUGAUUUUGUUCAUUGCUUAUGUAAUUAAUUGUACAGAUCAAGUUAAACAAAAAACAGAGAAAAUUAAAAUAAUUGUGAAAGGAGCUGAAAGGUUUUUGGGUAUAGAUAAUAUAUCUUGGGAAAAUAUAAAAAAGACUGGA